Hordeum vulgare subsp. vulgare (domesticated barley) is the source of this 124-nucleotide non-coding RNA. The record is from Rfam. Lineage: Eukaryota; Viridiplantae; Streptophyta; Magnoliopsida; Poales; Poaceae.
UAACUACUCCUUCCGUACGGAAUUACUUGUCACAAGAAUGAUAUAAAUGGAUGUAUCUACAAUUAAAAUACAUCUAGAUACAUCCAUUUCUACGACAAGUAUUUUCGAACAGAGGAAGUAUUAU